Molecule: long non-coding RNA, 1034 nt
Filed under: Helianthus annuus (common sunflower)
Lineage: Eukaryota; Viridiplantae; Streptophyta; Magnoliopsida; Asterales; Asteraceae
Description: sRNA HanXRQr2_Chr06g0258021
Source: RNAcentral
UUAUGCUAUAAGUAUAUGUUGUGUCGGGUUCAAGACAUUUUGAUUAUGGGGUAUGCAUCUUAUUGGUAUUUUAUUUAUUGGCGUAUGUAUAUGAUCAGAUAGUUUAAAUGUUGGUUCAAACAAUACUACAUUUGUAUUCAUACUUGAGGUAGUGUUGCAAUGUUGUUGUAGUUUUAGAUGUCAAGAAAAUGAGUAAUUUGUUGUAUUAACAGGUUGAAAGCCAUCAUCAAUUUGGCGUAGAUGGGUAUUCAAGAAAAUAAAGGCAUAAGUGGGAGUUUGGGUUCGUUUCUUACUCGCAGAUGCUUUGGUUGUCUUAUGAGGGGCUACUUAGAAGGUGAGUAAUUAAUGGUUAUUUUGGAAACUUUGCACUAAUUUUCUUGCUAAAUGGUCAUGACGAUGUUGAGUUGUGAGGUUUUGGUGUGUGCUGCCUCCUUUAGAAGAAGAGGAUGUUCCUCAACUAUACCCAAAAGGGUCAAAUCUUGGUGAGUGAGCUUGAGAAACAGUUGAAAAUGGAGAUAAAAUCAAGAAACAGAGCCAGAGCCAGAGUCUAAAAGAUCUGGUAAAAGACAUAAUUUCUCUUUAGAUGAUGGUAAUUUAGGGUCUUUUAAUGAGGAUAUUUUUUGAGUAGUCUAAUGAGAAUAAGAGUUAGAAAGAAAGAUGGAGCUGAAGAUCUUUUAAAAAAGAAGAUGACAAUGGGAAAUUUGUCACGGAUAUCUUAAGCUUGAAAAUACACUGUUGGAAGUGCAGCUCCUAGUGUUAAAAAUACUUAAAAUAUGUGAUUUUGGGUAUUCAAAGUAAUCAGUUAGGCGUUCCCAAUCAAAGUCAGCUGCAACUUACAUUGCACUUGAAGUUCUUUCAAGAAAAGAAUAUGAUGGAAAUGUGGCUCCUUUGAGCUUUUAGUUAUUUACUAGACAUGCAAUUUAAUGUUAUUUCUUAUUUGAAUUACCAUACUUGACUCAUCCUAACACACACCAUUGUUCUUGUGGAAAAACAAUAAAUUAAAUGGUUAAAAAAUUAAAAGUUAAGUUUUCGAC